Hippopotamus amphibius kiboko is the source of this 6689-nucleotide RNA transcript. It is a transcript of the gene named BOLA class I histocompatibility antigen, alpha chain BL3-7-like, with no coding region annotated. The transcript has 10 exons. The record is from RefSeq and is a predicted model, not a curated record. Lineage: Eukaryota; Metazoa; Chordata; Mammalia; Artiodactyla; Hippopotamidae.
UCACCGGCAUACAGGCGUCUUUCUCUCCGCAGACCUCUGGCCCUGCUGCCGCGUCCGGAAAAGAAACCGAAAACCCGCCGGCCCAGAUGCUUACAUAACCCAAGGCGGGGCCUCGCCGAACCCUGGCAGGUCACCGAACCCCUCCCUCUGGCUCAAAGGCAAGAAGAGUUGUUCGUGGAUAUGAAAGCAGAAUGAAGGCGCCUAUGGGCAGGUUGGGAGAGGAGUGAACUGCAUUUAGGUUUCUGGUUCUCAGACUGCUGGACAACUGCAUCUGCAGGCUGUGAAAAUGCAGACCUGCCCGGGUCCGCGGAAGGUCCGCGUCUCAGGUCUGAAGGGAGAUCUGGAAUCCGCCUUCUUUCAUCAACAGCCUCGGGAUUGAUUCUGAGUUCGGAGAUGCUUCUUCUAGCCCCUCCCCCGCGUGGGCCACCCUUGGUUUUAGGAUCCAAGGACACUUCCUACAGCCUCGCGUCCCCCCAGGAAGGAAAGCGCCCGCCGCGGAUCUGGCCUUUGAGUCCAGUCCUGCCCCACGGGAACGAAAAGCAGAGACUAAGCAUCCAGAAAAAAACAAAGAAACAAAACCCACCGAGGUUCUGCCAGGUUCAGGGAGGAAACUACUUUAAACCCAGUAUGACUUCAAAGAGUGGGGUGACUUCUUGAGAAGAUACAGCAACAGCGGAGCCGGGCAGCGCUUCACCGUUGCCAGAAGGGCCGCGUGAGCUCCGACUUGGGCGUGGGUUCCUGACGAGUCCGAGGACUCUCCCGGAGCCGACCCAGCAGGAGGUCAUCAUAGAUCAGCUGCCACCUCACUUGCCAGUCCCUGGACACCUGAUGGCCUUCCCAUUGCACCCCUCAGCCAGGACCCACCUGAUCCCAGGGAUCAGGGGACACCUCUGCUUCCCCUGGGGAUCCUAUGGAGCUAAAGUUAAAUGAUGGGACUUAAUUGACAAGCAAUAAUUACAUGGACAAGUAAGAUUCUACACGACUGUAGCACUUAAUGGUGCUGUUUUCCUUGAACAAUGAAUGAUUUCAAUCAAAAUAAUGGAUUCAAUGCAGAAGCAAAGAUGAAAAUCCAGUGGUUUUCAACUGAGACAGAAGCCAAUCAGCGUCCGACCCGCCGGGACUCACUUACCCGUAGGCCGGAGGAUGCGGGUCGUGGGGCUGCGAACCCCGCUCCUGCUGCUCUCGGGGGCCCUGGCCCUGACCCAGACCCGGGCGGGCUCCCACUCCCUGAGGUAUUUCCACACCGCCGUGUCCCGGCCCGGCCUCGGGAAGCCCCGCUUCAUCGCCGUCGGCUACGUGGACGACACGCAGUUCGUGCGGUUCGACAGCGACGCCCCGAAUCCGAGGAAGGAGCCGCGGGCGCCGUGGGUGGAGCAGGAGGGGCCGGAGUAUUGGGAUCGGGAGACGCGGAUUGUCAAGUACUGGGCAGAGUUCCGGAGGGAACCUGAACACCCUGCGCGGCUACUACAACCAGAGCGAGGCCGGGUCUCACAGCCUCCAGAGCAUGUACGGCUGCGACGUGGGGCCGGACGGGCGCCUCCUCCGCGGGAACAUGCAGUUCGCCUACGACGGCGCCAAUUACCUCGCCCUGAACGAGGACCUGCGCUCCUGGACCGCGGCGGACACAGCGGCUCAGAUCACCAAGCGCAAGUGGGAGGUGGCCGGUGAUGCGGAGCAGGACAGGAACUACCUGGAGGGCAGGUGCGUGGAGCGACUUCGCAGGUACCAGGGGCCAUGGGGCCGCCCUGACCUCCCCUCAGGCUGGAGCUGGCUUCCCACGAGUGCCGAGACCAGCUCGGCGACUCGAGACCCUCCAAAGACACACGUGACCCAUCACCCCAUCUCUGAAGAUGUGGUCACCCUGAGGUGCUGGGCCCUGGGCUUCUACCCUGAGGAGAUCUCACUGACCUGGCAGCGUGAUAGGGAGGACCAGACCCAGGACAUGGAGCUUGUGGAGACCAGGCCUUCAGGGGAUGGAACCUUCCAGAAGUAGGCAGCCCUGGUGGUGCCUUCUGGAGAGGAGCAGAGAUACACGUGCCAUGCGCAGCACGAGGGGCUUCAGGAGCCCCUCACCCUGAGAUGGGAACCCCCUCAGCCCUCCAUCCCCAUCAUGGGCAUCAUUGCUGGCCUGGUUCUCUGCCUGGUCACUGGAGCUGUGGUGGCUGGAGCUGUGAUCUGGAGAAAGAAGCGCUGAGGCUAUGACAGUGCCCAGGGCUCUGAUGUGUCUCUCAUGGGUCAUGGAGGUGAGUCCCUGGAGGGCCUAGAUGGGAGAGGUGUUGGGGCAGAGGGGACACAGUGGGUGAUGGGGAUCUUUGAGUGGCACAUUUGAGCAUGUGGGGGGCUGUUGAGAAUGUCAGCACCUCCGUGACUGACCUGAAUGUGUUCAUGAUUAUUUCUUCCACAGUGUGAGAAAGCUGCCUUGUGGGGACUGAGUGAUGCUCAGUCCCACUUUGUGAGUUUAGAUCCCCUGACUCCUCUUUCUGCAGCUGCAUCUGAAUGUGUCUGUGUUCCUAUCAGCAUAGUGUGAGGAGGUGGGGAGACUGGCCCAGCCCUGCCCACGGCGACCCCUGCCCACCCUGACCUGUGUGCUCUUCCCUGAUCCACUUUCCUGCUCUAACAGAAACAGUGCUGGGCCAUCUCCUUCCCUGUGUUUAUUUCCUUUUGCACUGAGUAGUAAGGUUUUAUUUCCUUAUUGAAAAUAAAAUCUAUUUAUUUGAAUUUGUUUUUUUCUAAUUGGUGCCAUGAGGAGUUAAUGGGAUAUUAAAGGUGAGGAUUCCUAAAGUUUGAGAGAGGAAAUAAAUGGAAACACUGAGAACCUUGUAGAAUAAUUGUGCUUGCUGUUCUCAGUCUGUUGCAGGAGGAGGCUGUGAGAAGCCAAGUGUGGACUGGGCCUGUGACCAGUCAGUGCUCAGUGCAUUGUGGGCUCUGAUGUGGUCACUGCUCUGCUGGGUCAUCUUCGCUGCUCCUUUGUCCUGUCCCUUCAGUAGAACCUUGUCUGGCCAGGACCUGUGGUCACAGGGACUCAGACAUCACCUGGACCUCAUCCUAUCUCCUGGACAGUGGGCAGGAAGGGUUUUGUGUGGUCGGUCAGUUUCGGCUCAGGCCUGGGUCCACUCCUCAGCCCCAUCUUUUGGUUGUUUAUUUGUUGUUUCUUUGUCUCUUUAGAGGUUUUUGCCUGAGUUUGUGUUUUAUUGUCCUCUGGGUGUCCCCCAUCUCUGACAGCUGGAGGAGUCCUUUGCCUGUCACAGUCCCCUCAAGGCCCAAGGCUGCCCCUGCACACAGAAGAGUCUGUGUCCAGAGAUGGAUUUUCAGAUUCAUCCACCUCUUGCCAUCCUUCAGGGAUGUCUUUGUUCUUUCCAUAUUUCCCCCAACAUUCUCAAAGGAUCCAGAUUCUGGAAUGAGCACAAAGGAAGGAAACCAUAAUGUCUCACCUUAGAUUAGUUCCUGUGGGAAUUCUGCUCUGCUCGCCUACCCACUCACUCUCCCUGCCCUGAGCUCUAGUAAUCCUAGUGCUGGUUCCAAUACAAACGCAUGGAUUUAUAAAGCAGAGUCUAAUUUAGGUUUAUUUUUGGUUGCAAAAUAAGACCCAUACGUCAAGGAUCAUUAUUUUCUGAAAAGAAAAAUAUACUUGUGUGAUGUCGUGCGGAGGAGCGUUGAUUUGAGGGAAGGAGACUGUAACACUUGUGAGAAAAACACGGACAGCCUUGAGGUCAAUGUGAGUAGAUGUUGUGCUGUAGCUGCCACAAAACAGUUUGGCCUGAGGUUACAUGAAUAAAGAUACUGUCUCUAGAAUAGGAGGUGCUUUACAUUGACCAUUCGUUCAACUGGUACUGGUUGUGGGCCACAAUGGGUUUUGCAUCUGGGAAAUAUCAUUGAGGUAAAAACAGAAAAUUGCUGGCCUUGUGGAGCAUGUGUUCUCGUGGGAAGAGACACACUGUACACUGUCAUCGUAAUAAAUAAGGAAAGCGUUCUGUUACAAGGGGAUACAGACAAUGGAAAAGAUGCAGAGCAGAAGGCAAUGCAGAGUGUGAGGCGGGGAACAGGACAGGGAAGAUGGUGACUUUACUAGUGUGGUCAGUGUGCUGCACUCUCCCCAUUCUUCACGUGCUUCAGAACUGCAUGCAGUGAGCUGCUGGGUUCCAGACCUGCUGCCCUCAGGCCAGGCCCCUCUCCUCCGGGACUCCACCUCUUGCCCAGCUCCUCUCUGCUUUGUCUCCCUUCCUCAUCAUUUUCCCCUCCCCUGAAUGUCUCUCGCCUUUUUCAAAAGCCUUCUCCUCCUGGAGUACAAAUUCCUCUGAACCACAGGAAAAAAGAGAGGCAAAGACCACUAAGUGAAGCCCUGAAGGACACCGGUGGCUCCCCCUCUAGACAUCCCACCCUGCCUCCUCCAGCUCUGUCUCUGUGUACAUCAGGUGUACCCAACCCCUUGAGGCCUGUUAGGAACUGGGCUUCCUCUGCCACUGCCCAUCCCUCCCCAUAACUUCAUUAUAGCCUUCACCAUCCCUGCCCCCGCCGGUGUGAAAAUUAUCUUCCAUAAACUGGUGCUUGGUGCCCAAAAGUGUGGGGACCGUGGGUGUAAAUACAGAGUCAAAAUUUAGGAAACCUUCCCACCUUGGCAUUGGAUUCAUGAGUUUUGUGUUAUGGUCACAUGUGCCUUUAUUUCUGGAGAUGGGACAAUGAUACUCAUCAGAUCAGCAGACUGCAAAGACCGCCCCCCCCCCCAAAAAAAGGCUUAAAGGACUCUGCAUUAGGGAGGAGGGUGAGAUGGGGGACCUCAUGACUCUACUGAUCACUCCUACAGAAAGGGUUACUGAAAAGUGGUGCAGGACAGUCCAUUCCUUCCAGGGACUGGUCAGGGAAGUCAGAGCCACUGAUGGUGGAUGUCAAAUUCCCUCAAAGAAAUAUCAUUACAAGAAAAUCUUGGGACUUCCCUGGUUAAGAAUCCGCCUGCCAAUGCAGGGGACAUGGGUUUGAGCCCUGGUCCAGGAAGAUCGCACAUGCCAGGGAGCAACUAAGCCCGUGCCCCACAACUACUGAGUCCGCAUGCUACAACUACUGAAGUCUGUGUACCUAGGGCCCGUGCUCCGCAACAAGAGAAGCCACUGCAACGAGAAGGCCUCGCACCACAACGAAGAGUAGCCCCCGCUGGCCACAAUGAGAGAAAGCCUGAGCACAGCAAUGAAGACCCAAUGCAGCAAUAAAUAAAUUAAUAAAUAAAUUUAUUUUAAAAUAAACAAAUAAAAUGAAUGUAUCUGAUUUAAAAAAAAAAAAAAAAAGAAAGAAAAUCUUUGUUACCCUUUUAAGCCCACAUAAAUGCUCAAACAGAACCAACAUCAGAAAACCAAAAUUCUAGUUCAGAUGAGAUCACUGAAGUUGACUAUAAGGCUUCAUGGGACCUGUUAGGUGGAAAGGACAACUCUAUCUAGGGGUAUACCUCAAUAGCCUCUACAUCUUGAGGCCCCCAGAAAGGACACUAUCUCUUCAGCAGCACACAGCGGAGGCAUUUCUGGGGGAAAAAAUGUAUAAUCUCCUUGAAUUCCUAAGGUUUUUACAUUCGCUAAAUGACUUACAUUUAAUCUUUGAACAUAUUGGAAUUAAUUUGCUUAGACUCUAAGUACAGAACCAAGCAGGAAGCAAGGGACUGACCCUAAGCUAUCACCCCAUCCUGUGACACUUUUAGACAAUAAUCAUAAGAGAUUUUGAGCCAACAAAAUCCAUGGCUGGGUAAACAGUAAACUCUCCAUUUCAACCAAUGUUUCAGAUAUUCCAGCUUGCCUAGCAAUAUUCUAACUUGAACCCAGUCUUAACAUUUAAAAUUUAUAUUUUUCUUUGUAUUGAUUUUUAAAUAAUUCAUGUCUAUUACACUGAGUUUGUUGCAAUAAGCCACCCAGAAUCAAGUGUGGAAUUAAGAUAAGUGAAUAAAUGUGUGGUUCUUCAUUGACUCACUGCUAACGCUGUCUUUAAAAUGUAUCAUCACCGUGUGCAGUCACUUCUCACAGCUCUGCUGCUGUGAGAGUAGAGCUCUAGAACCAUCCUCUCCACAACAGUAAACAGCCUAGCCCUCCAGGUGGGCUCCCUGCUGGCUCUCAUGCCCUGCUGUCUGUUACCCACAUAAUAGACGACAUGAUCUUUUAAACUGUAAGUUAGAACACAUCCUCACCACCACAUCCCACAGAACACUGCACUGUCUUCCCUUCUUAGGCAGGAUGAAAUCCCAGUCCCUCACCACUGCCUACAAGCCGCUCAUGAUAGGGCGCCUCUGGCCGCCCUGGCCUCAGCCCACCACGCUCAGCCUGGCUCACUCAGCUACUCACAUGGGUCUCUGACACUGCACAGUCCUGUCCCAGGGCUCCUGUCCCUGCUGUGACUCUCCAAGUGCACCUCCUCUCCAGAGACUCACAUGACUGCUCCCCCCUCCAUUCAGGUCUCUGCUCCAGAGUCCCAAGGUCAAGUCCUCAGAAGCGUCACAUCCAACAAACUCUGAAAUAUUUGCCCUGCCAUCGCCACCACCAAUCUUCUAGCCCAGCCAUAUGUCUCUCCAGAGCACUUAACACUGAUAUCAGAAUAAUUGUUUUUGUCAUCUGUAUCAUUGAAAUACAUGUUCUUUAAAACAGGAACCUUGUCUACUUGUCACCACCUGUAUCUCUAGCAUCUAGAACAGCCCCAGUACAUAGUAGGGGCUCAAUAAU